RNAcentral lists this ribosomal RNA (560 nucleotides) under Coelopogon epiphorellus. RNAcentral's name for it is "SSU rRNA". It matches the Rfam family "Bacterial small subunit ribosomal RNA", at positions 227 to 859 of the family's 1533-position model. Lineage: Eukaryota; Fungi; Ascomycota; Lecanoromycetes; Lecanorales; Parmeliaceae. The record is from RNAcentral.
GUUUGUAUCUCGUGCGUGGUAGUAGUUAGGAUUAAUAGCCUAACUAGCUAUAUGCACGUAGUCGUAACUGAAAGGUUGAUCGACCACAGUGGGCCUGAAGAAAACCCAUGACGACUGUCACAGCAGUGAGGAAUCUUGGUCAAUAGCCUAACGGCUGAACCAGCAACUUGGAUGAUAAUGACAUUGUCUGCCUAUGUGUCUUGACCAAAUUACGUGCCAGCAGUCGCGGUAAUACGUAGAAGACUAGUGUUAUUCAUAUUUAAUCGGUUUAAAGGGUACCUAGACGGUAAAUCAAGCUUGAAAAGAAAGGAACUAAUUUACUAGAGUUACUUACGAGGGGGUUAUAAAGUACUGCUGGUGUAGAGAUGAAAUUCUGUCAUACCUAUCUUCGAAAGAAUAACGACGGCACAGGUAUAGGCGAAAGCAUCCCCUUAUGUGAUAACUGACGUUGAGGGACGAAGGCUAUUUGUAGCGAACAGGAUUAGAUACCCCAGUAGUUGUAGCAGAAAAUGAUGAAUGUCAUAGAUUAGAUAAAUAAGUUUAUUCUAUAAAUGAAAGUG